UACAGAGGUCUCAAGCGUUGUUCGGAAUCACUGGGCGUAAAGGGUGCGUAGGCCGCACGGUAAGUCAGAGGUGAAAUCCCGGAGCUCAACUCCGGAAUUGCCUCCGAUACUGCCGUGCUUGAGGACUGGAGAGGAGAUUGGAAUUCACAGUGGAGCAGUGAAAUGCGUAGAUAUUGUGAGGAACACCGGUGGCGAAGGCGGGUCUCUGGGCCGAUACUGACGCUGAGGAGCGAAAGCGUGGGGAGCGAACAGG
RNAcentral lists this ribosomal RNA (253 nucleotides) under uncultured bacterium. RNAcentral describes it as "partial 16S ribosomal RNA". It matches the Rfam family "Bacterial small subunit ribosomal RNA", at positions 524 to 776 of the family's 1533-position model. The record is from RNAcentral.